Molecule: unclassified non-coding RNA, 524 nt
Filed under: Hevea brasiliensis (rubber tree)
Lineage: Eukaryota; Viridiplantae; Streptophyta; Magnoliopsida; Malpighiales; Euphorbiaceae
Source: RNAcentral
AUGACAUCAUGCCUGCCAUGAAUUACAGAUAUUAGGAAUCCAGCAGAGCAGAUGGAUUCCAGAUCAGCCCGUGAUAUCUUAUGAGUCCAACAAGCAUUUAUCUGUCCAUCAAAUCCACAAUUUGACUGCAUCCCCGAUGCUGAUAUGCCUUUCACGUAUUCUUGAUAUAAUACUGCUCUGCGGGUUGUAGUUCCCACAUCUUCCUCGAGGUAUUCCUUUGAAUAAUGGGUGUCUAAAUCAACAGCAGCCCUCUGUUCAGGAGUCUUUGCCUUCAAAAACCGGACAGCAAUUGAUAGAGUUUGACGAUCGAGCCUGGGAAUACAUUCAUAGCCUCCUCCCGUGACAUUCAAUAAACCCAAAGACAAAACUCUCUCAGGCACCAUUGCAGCCAAUUUGCAAGAAAUCAUAGCUCCCAUGGAAUGACCAAAGACGUGUGCUUUUUCCCACCCCAAGUGAUCCAUUAUAGAAAUUGCAUCUUUAGCCAUAAUACCAGUCGUAUAUUCUGACUUUUUAGUAGGCACAGA